Sarcophilus harrisii (Tasmanian devil) is the source of this 63-nucleotide non-coding RNA. The record is from Rfam. Lineage: Eukaryota; Metazoa; Chordata; Mammalia; Dasyuromorphia; Dasyuridae.
GUAGCCGGGCUCGUGGGUAGGAGCUGCGUUCACUUCUGCUUCCGCCCUGCAAGCCCGGUAGCU